This 445-nucleotide ribosomal RNA is filed under the name uncultured bacterium. RNAcentral describes it as "partial 16S ribosomal RNA". It matches the Rfam family "Bacterial small subunit ribosomal RNA", at positions 354 to 796 of the family's 1533-position model. The record is from RNAcentral.
GUGAGGAAUAUUGGUCAAUGGGCGGGAGCCUGAACCAGCCAAGUCGCGUGAAGGAAGAAGGAUCUAUGGUUCGUAAACUUCUUUUGCAGGGGAAUAAAGUGCAGGACGUGUCCUGUUUUGUAUGUACCCUGAGAAUAAGGAUCGGCUAACUCCGUGCCAGCAGCCGCGGUAAUACGGAGGAUCCGAGCGUUAUCCGGAUUUAUUGGGUUUAAAGGGUGCGUAGGUGGUUUGAUAAGUGAGCGGUGAAAGUUUGCAGCUUAACUGUAAAAAUGCCGUUGAAACUGUCGGACUUGAGUGUAAAUGAGGUAGGCGGAAUGCGUGGUGUAGCGGUGAAAUGCAUAGAUAUCACGCAGAACUCCGAUUGCGAAGGCAGCUUACUAAGCUACAACUGACACUGAAGCACGAAAGCGUGGGGAUCAAACAGGAUUAGAAACCCGGGUAGUCC